GGUAGCGUGGCCGAGCGGUCUAAGGCGCUGGUUUAAGGCACCAGUCUCUCCGGAGGAGUGGGUUCCAAUCCCACCGCUGCCA
Molecule: transfer RNA, 82 nt
Filed under: Trichonephila clavipes
Lineage: Eukaryota; Metazoa; Arthropoda; Arachnida; Araneae; Nephilidae
Rfam family: tRNA
About the family: Transfer RNA (tRNA) molecules are approximately 80 nucleotides in length. Their secondary structure includes four short double-helical elements and three loops (D, anti-codon, and T loops).
Source: Rfam by way of RNAcentral